GACGAACGCUGGCGGCGUGCUUAACACAUGCAAGUCGAACGGAAAGGCCUUUUCGGAGGUACUCGAGUGGCGAACGGGUGAGUAACACGUGGGUGAUCUUCCCUGCACUCUGGGAUAAGCCUGGGAAACUGGGUCUAAUACCGGAUAGGACCGCACUUUAGUGUGUGUGGUGGAAAGUUUUUUCGGUGUAGGAUGAGCCCGCGGCCUAUCAGCUUGUUGGUGGGGUAAUGGCCUACCAAGGCGGCGACGGGUAGCCGGACUGAGAGGUUGGUCGGCCACAUUGGGACUGAGAUACGGCCCAGACUCCUACGGGAGGCAGCAGUGGGGAAUAUUGCACAAUGGGCGCAAGCCUGAUGCAGCGACGCCGCGUGGGGGAUGACGGCCUUCGGGUUGUAAACUCCUUUCGCCAGGGACGAAGCGUUUUGUGACGGUACCUGGAGAAGAAGCACCGGCUAACUACGUG
Molecule: ribosomal RNA, 463 nt
Filed under: uncultured bacterium
Lineage: Bacteria
Description: partial 16S ribosomal RNA
Rfam family: Bacterial small subunit ribosomal RNA
Source: RNAcentral